RNAcentral lists this ribosomal RNA (642 nucleotides) under uncultured bacterium. RNAcentral's name for it is "bacterial SSU rRNA". It matches the Rfam family "Bacterial small subunit ribosomal RNA", at positions 60 to 701 of the family's 1533-position model. The record is from RNAcentral.
AGUCGACGGAACUGUUUUGAAGAUUUCUUCGGAAUGAAUUUGAUUUAGUUUAGUGGCGGACGGGUGAGUAACGCGUGAGUAACCUGCCUUCAAGAGGGGGAUAACAUUCUGAAAAGAAUGCUAAUACCGCAUGACAUAUCGGAAUCACAUGAUUUUGAUAUCAGAGAUUUUAUCGCUUGAAGAUGGACUCGCGUCCGAUUAGUUAGUUGGUGAGGUAACGGCUCACCAAGACCGCGAUCGGUAGCCGGACUGAGGGGUUGAACGGCCACAUUGGGACUGAGACACGGCCCAGACUCCUACGGGAGGCAGCAGUGGGGGAUAUUGCGCAAUGGGGGCAACCCUGACGCAGCAACGCCGCGUGAAGGAUGAAGGUUUUCGGAUUGUAAACUUCUUUUAUUAAGGACGAAAAAUGACGGUACUUAAUGAAUAAGCUCCGGCUAACUACGUGCCAGCAGCCGCGGUAAUACGUAGGGAGCAAGCGUUGUCCGGAUUUACUGGGUGUAAAGGGUGCGUAGGCGGCUUUGCAAGUCAGAUGUGAAAUCUAUGGGCUCAACCCAUAAACUGCAUUUGAAACUGUAGAGCUUGAGUGAAGUAGAGGCAGGCGGAAUUCCCCGUGUAGCGGUGAAAUGCGUAGAGAUGGGG